Molecule: long non-coding RNA, 1523 nt
Organism: Chelonus insularis
Lineage: Eukaryota; Metazoa; Arthropoda; Insecta; Hymenoptera; Braconidae
Exons: 4
Source: RefSeq, a predicted model, not a curated record
UAAAAAAAUUCAAUAUGUAGUCAGUCAUAAAAUAAAAACUCUACUUUCCUAAACCAACUUCCCUGUAAUCUUCUUAGAAGUUUCAUGUAUAUCACCAAUGUUAGAAAAACUUUAUCACACUAUACUUAGGGAUAAUAAACUCCAACAGACACGUGAAUACAAUCACGAAAUUCAAUAAUCAUAUGUAACGGAAUCAAUACCAGCAUGUUAAAAGUUUUAAAAAGUGGUGCUAAAUAAUUGUCUGUCUCUAAAUAACAUAGUUAAAAAAAAUCUUGUUCUUUCACACCUACAAGUUGCCCCUCCCUACAUGACUCUUACCACCCCCUUCAAGACAUGAGGGAUCAAUAGCAUCGACCUCGAAACCGCCUAUACAAACUCAGUGAGUCGAAAUUAUUGAUGACAUGACUCGUGUGUGUAUCUCUACGUCUAAACAAAAAUAACAAUAAUUCUACCAGAGUAACGUGCCUUAUUUCGAACUCAAUUACUGCAUUAUUUAUUUAUAGGUUAAACUUCUUGAUAUAUUAUGGUUAUAUUUUAGUGAUAUUUAUCCACUUUAUUCAGCACGUCGCUCUGAAAUCUAGAUUCUGCUACGGGUUCUAUAUUUUACAUGCACGGGCUCUCGAGGCUCUGGAACUCAUGUUGAGGGUCGCAGGUGCACGUUAAGUUUGAGCAACAGACUGAAAAAAUUAUUUAAGAAAGACCUCAGCAAAUUCUUGCUUCUCAACUAUGUGAGUGGCAUAGUAUGUACAUAUAUACUAAGCACUAGAAAUUAUGGAAAUUGCGAUGCAGCUAUUGAUUCCUCGAAAAGUCCUAGUGCGCCAAACAUGCGACUUUUGUGACCGGAAUUCGCGGGUUUGAAGUCACGCAACGAAUGAAUGAACAGUCAAUUGCACGCGAUUGUUGUUUCCUUUUAAAGAUGUGAAUCAAGUUAAAGACAGCGAUCAAUAUUUCUGCAAGUGAAGAUAUAGCUGAUGAUAAAAAUUCAUACUAGAGUGAUAAAUAGAAGCUUUUCAUUCUAUAACUCAACGUAUGGAACAAAAGAAGCAAAGUGGAAAGAGGCAAUUAUGAAAAAAAUUCAGAGAGCACCAUGGAUUUUUCCAGCAAUUUGUGAAUAUAGCCAAUUCGGCCACUUGAUUGCGGUGUAAUGGACGGAGGGAGAGGGAGGGUGAAAGGUUUGAAUAUGCCCGGCACUCUCUUAGGAAUCCCCGGAGCACGCGAUGUCGUCGUUCAUGUGCAUAUAAUGAGCCUCUGUGUUUCCGGACAAAUGUACUCUUUGGAUUGCGACUUAUUCGAGCAUAUAAGUACUGAAAAGAAUCCUCACUGACAUGUAUAAUCCACGUGUGUGCACAAAAGAUACAGCGAGCAACAUUGAAACUGAAGAAAUAUAGUAGAGGUGAUGAAUAGAUGACAGAUUGAUGAGUGUGAACACUGCGAGUACGAAAAUAAGAUUAAAAAGAUUCAACAAAAUCAACAAAAUUAGUAGUGCUAUGACUUUGUAGGUUGUUAAUUUAUUUAAUAAUAUA